RNAcentral lists this ribosomal RNA (474 nucleotides) under uncultured bacterium. Its description in RNAcentral is "bacterial SSU rRNA". It matches the Rfam family "Bacterial small subunit ribosomal RNA", at positions 365 to 830 of the family's 1533-position model. The record is from RNAcentral.
UUCGCAAUGCCCGAAAGGGUGACUAUGCGACGCCGCGUGCGCGAUGAAGGUCUUCGGAUUGUAAAGCCCUGUCUCCUGGGAAGAAUGGCGGGAGGUGAAUAGCCAUCUCGUCUGACGCUACCAGGGAAGGAAGCACCGGCUAAAUACGUGCCAGCAGCCGCGGUAAUACGUAUGGUGCGAACGUUGUUCGGAAUCACUGGGCAUAAAGAGCACGUAGGCGGUUGAGCAAGUCCAUUGUGAAAUCCCCCGGCUUAACCGGGGAACUGCUGUGGAUACUACUUGACUUGAGUGCGGGAGGGGAGAGUGGAAUUCCAGGUGGAGCGGUGAAAUGCGUAGAUAUCAGAAGGAACGCCGGCGGCGAAAGCGGCUCUCUGGCCCAUAACUGACGCUGAGUGUGCGAAAGCUAGGGGAGCAAACGGGAUUAGAUACCCCGGUAGUCCUAGCCCUAAACGAUGGGCACUAAGUAGAGGGGUU